RNAcentral lists this long non-coding RNA (4806 nucleotides) under Fukomys damarensis (Damara mole-rat). RNAcentral's name for it is "lncRNA (ENSFDAG00000031645.1)". The record is from RNAcentral. Lineage: Eukaryota; Metazoa; Chordata; Mammalia; Rodentia; Bathyergidae.
GAAGUGCCCAAACCGUGGAUGCGGAAGGCAGCCGCCCUGUGAUUCCUCUUGCCCUUGACUUUUACACGUUGCUCUGCAAGCUCCUUGGGCCCAGAAUUCGUUGCAGGCCCCAAGUCAGCGCGGCCCGUGACCGCGGCACCACCCUCCAAGCACAGCGUACACGCCCGUCCCCGUGGGUGUCGCCAGCUCUCCCCGGAGUCUCCCUCCGCCCUGGGCUCCUCCUGUCGGGGCGCAGCCAUCUGCUCGGAGGUGCCAGCUCUGGGGAGUGGGGACCCCGCAGUCUCGGCCUCGCGUGCGCCGUCUGAGAGAGAAGAUCGGUGGUAUUUGCUUGGGGAGUUUUGUUUUCAGGGCGUGCGGCGGUUCCUCCGUGUCCCCGUCCUCACCAGCCAUCGCUGAAGGGCACAGGUCCCUCGGGCUCCCGGUGCCGCUGCCCCGGCGGGAAUCCAGGGCCGGGUGGAGACUGCGGCAGGCUGAUCCCCUCGCUCUGUCCGACGACGCCCGCCGUGCGGCCCUGCGCAGAGCCCAGACCCCCGCGAUGGCGGAGCCCGUUGGAGGCCAAGGUCCGGAAGGUACGGGCAGCCCCCGCCUUGGUCCCAAGAGAAGCCGAGCAGAAAACAACGAACCGAACCUGAACAUCGACGCAGGCUCAGCCGGGCGCCACCGCACUUCCCCCGGCCUGACUGCUUGAACCCAAAGUCGACCGGAAUCUGCCUGCAGCCUCCCAGCCUGGGCCCAGCAGGUACAGGAAGGGUGCAGCCUGUCCCACUUCGUCCUGUGCCAUCUCCUCCCAAACGCCAGCUCCGCGACUCCCAGCCCGGCCUGCUUACUCUGAAACCCAGCAGAGGCCCAGGCACACUGACUUUCUGUCGCUGUCUUGGGCCGCCAAUAACACGAUGCCGGGGAGAGACAGACGGGUGGUGAGCUUUGGAUCUUCGGGGUCUCCUGCUGGUUUUGUCCCCCAGGCAGCAGUGUGGUGAGGUGGGACUUUUGGAGGAAACUGGACCAGGAGGACUCAGCUCAUCCACAGAUCGAUCCAGUCAUAGGUUCCUGCUUUGAAGCCAUGAUUGGGUGUGAUGGAAACUCAGGGUGGGACUUAGUCGAAGAAAUUGGUCCUUUAGAAAGUUCCCUAGAUGGACUGAGCCCCCGAGACCUCUGGGGCAGCCGACCACGGACUGAACCCCCGAGACCACUGGAGCAGCUGACCGCUGACUGAGCCCUCCGAGACCAUGAGGCAGAAUAAACCUCUCCUCCAUUAAGUUGUUUUUCUGAGGUACUUUGUAAAGCUCACUAACGCACAUGGUAAUUGGAAAACCAAACAAGUUCGCUGGGACUCCCAGGUCGGGUCCAACAUCAGCUCUUUCGGUGGCAGAGUCACAAAGUAGAGCAGGACAACGAAGGGGCAGACAGACAGACAGCCGUCCCGCCCUGUCCGGCAGCCCCUGCUCUCCAGAGAGCCCGCGGAUCCACGAAUGUGCUAAAUCCAUCCACCAGGGCAGACCACUCUAGAGGCCCCCUCCUACAGCUCACACCUGGUUCCAGGCCCCAGUAUCUGAUCAUCGCCAUGAUACUGAGAGAAAACCAACCACAUUCAAACCAUAGUAACUGUGCUCUGCGUAAGACCAAGGCUCCCAGAUGCCGGGGCGGGGGUGCCGGGGAUCGAACUCAGGACCUUGCACUUGGCAGGCAGAUGGUGGAACCCCUGAGCCAAAUCCCCAGCCUGAUACCAAAGUUUCCAAUCAUUUCGAGGACACAGGGUGAGGUCCUGACGCCGACCCCGCAGACCUGAGUGAUCUGAGCCUGUCCUCCUUCUCCGAUGGCCCCCACCUGCGCCUCUGGCCACCCUGCUCACCGGCCAGAAAAACGAGCACAAGAGAAGCUGUUCGUGGUUGCUUCCUGUCCACCGCCAAACACCAGACACUCCAGCUUCCACAUGGCGUGGUUUUCUGUUCUCUGAGACACCAAAAGUGUAAGGACCUGGCGAGCGACUAAAAGGUGGGUGACAGGAAAGGGAACAGGUCUUCUGAAAGGCAGGGGACCAAUACAUGGAGGGGAGGCGAGGAAGGAGCUGCAGAGGGAGUUAGCGUGGUGUCGGCCCGGGCACCCACGCCCCACGAGAAUGUGGCCGUCGGGCACUGCAGAGAUGGUCUCAUAAAAUCAAAGAAAAAGAAGUUUGGCGUUAGGAAAAGCCCAGGGCCAGAUUAUCCACUCAGAUCUUUACUGCCUUCUCCUUCGGAUCCUCUUCCCAGACACCACAGAUAAUACUCUCUUUCCUGCCCAAACUCCUGCCAGUGUGAGCAGAAGACACAAAAACAUCCCCACCCCGUGGAUACACGACAAGGAGGUGAGAAUUUCUAGACCCACUCAGCCUUGACGGGAAGCAAAACUUUUCUCUCCCUUGCAGAUUUCUUCCCAAGAACGGAAUUUAACCUCACCCUGCUCUUAGCAAAAACAGGAGGCGCCCUCUGGUGGUCGUGGGUGAAUCUGACGAUUAAAAGCACAGAAAUCAUUAGGCUGUUUUUUGAUGCACCUGCCUCACUCUCUCUCUGGGAUCAGGAGAUUAAAAAUCUUCCCGGAGGGCUGGGGGAUUUAGCUCAGUGGUGUCACCGCCUGCCUUGCAAACUUCAGGUCCUGAGUUCGAUCCCCGGCACCGUAAGAUCUCCUGGGACGCUCUGUUUCUUAGUAAUCUGUACAUUGAGUUUCACCAUUUAUAACUCCACCUCGGACAAACAUUAUUAUUCAGUUAGGAGGCAUUCAGACGAAUGGCAAAGUUUCGAGUUAUAUUGAUACCUAUAAGUAUAUAUUUAUACAUAUGAAUUUAUAAUUGUAUAAAUACAAAAUCAUAAAUUUAUAUAUAUUUUAAGGAAUAUAAACCCGUACAUUUUAGUCAUUGCUUUUUGUUUUUGUUUUUGUUUUUUGAGACAGGGUCUCGCUGUGUAGUUGAGACUGACCUGGAACUCACUAUGUAGCCCAGGCUGGUCUCGAAUUCACAGCGAUCCUCCUGCCUCAGCCUCCCGAGUACUGGGGUGACAGGCGUGUGCCACCGUGCCCAGCACAAACCCAUACAUUUUGGGUACCAGGGAUCAAACUCAGGUCUUUGUGCGUGUGAGGCAGGCGGUGGAACCACUGGGCUAAUCCCUGGCUCAUAAACCCAAACAUUUUAAAAUAGAAAUGCAGGGAUGUAUAUAUAAGUUUUAAUUGUGAAGUGCUUUUUAAAAAGUAACUAGAAAACCAAGAAGUUAGCAAGCCUUGGGUACCGACUGGGUGCUACGUUAUCAUCUUUCUUAGCUUUUCCCGACGUCCUGGCCUUUACUCAAGCUUUUUACCCGCAUUUUGCCUGCGGAGAACGUGAGCUGUGUGAGUCACGGAUUAGGAAACUGCACCUGCGAUUUCUACCUGGUAAAACAGUCUCCACGCCACGCAGACGAGCAAAGCGUACCCUGCUAUUUUUUUUUUUCCAUCUCCACGAAAAUCCACGCGUUGCCAUGAGUGGAUUUCUCCUCUUUUUCCUCUUCGUUCGGUCGGCCUGACCCGACGUGGCCCAGUUAAGGACCACGAGUCCUAAACGCUGCAUCUGCCAGUCAGGAGGUCCGAGUGCCUGGCGUUGGUUUUCCCAUUUUCCCUAAAUAAGGCAACUUGGGCCGUGGCUGCUGAAAGAGGCACAGAGGUCUUCGUGCGGACCUUUUCGGUAGCUGUCUGCUUUUUUUUUUUUCUUCCAUGAAACAGGGGCACGCGUGCAUCUCCACAGUCUCGAGGGGCCCUGAGAGUUCCGUGUCCCCGUUUGCCAAGAUGCCCAGCGUCUGAGUGACAGACAGGCUGGGCAUCGCUGGUGCUCUGCACAAAUGCACAGAGCUAGCGCGUGCCGGCACGGAACCACAGCAUAAAAGCUUUCUAAAAAUCACAGUGGCUGUUUUCUUCAGAAAUCCAGGGCGCUGCUGCACGGUGGAGACCAACCCUGUGUGCCCGGAACAAAAUCUCACCCUCCAUCUCCGCCGUGCAGAACCAGCAACAAAAGUGCACAGGAGGGUGACAGUUACGGCCACAGCAACAGUCACAGCCAUCAGGUACAAUUGUUACCUCUGCGGGUGUUAUAGUUACGUCGUUGCAGUUGCUGUUAUUGUUGUAAUCGUUACGGUCCGUCACAGUUAGGGGCCAGAGUUAGGGGCUCUGGGGCCAGAGCAGGAAUAAGGACGGAGGUCAGGAAGGGAAAAAGCUGUACCCAGGAUGAGGGGAGCCAGGGAGAAAAGGUUGAUUUUGAACCAAAGUCCUGAUAAGGAUGAUGAUGCAGGCAGAGGAAAAAGGCUGAGGAGGAAAACCCGAGUAGACGAAAUCAGUAUCUGCUCAGGAAGGAGAAACCAUAAAGUCCUAGGAACUUUGAUGUCUUUAUAUGGGACUCAGGGGUGUGGCGGCACAUGCCUGAGAUCUCGGUGCUCAGGAGGCUGAGGCAGGAGGACCGCCGUGAUUUCGAGGCGAGCCUGGACUGCAUAGUGAAGCAGAGAUGCUUUCUGGAAAAACCACGACCUGCACCUAAAAAUAAACCAAAGAGGCAGCGGGCAUUGCCCCAGAGAACAGCCUGACCCAUCACCCCAGUAUUCUGGGAGGCUGAGGCAGGAGGGUACCAAGUUCAAGGCACAUCAGGACAAGUCAGCGACUGAGACCCUCUCACAAAAACAAAUAAAUAAAAACGAAUUGAUGAAUACACACAUGAUUAAAUGAGCAGGCUAGGGAUGUCGCUCAGCGCAACUCUCUCAGGUAGAGGACACAGUAUGUCACGAUGCAGAGCUCUCACCCUGGGCUUUGAAGUUUCUC